Molecule: ribosomal RNA, 254 nt
Filed under: uncultured bacterium
Lineage: Bacteria
Description: partial 16S ribosomal RNA
Rfam family: Bacterial small subunit ribosomal RNA
Source: RNAcentral
GACGAACCGUGCGAACGUUAUUCGGAAUCACUGGGCUUAAAGCGCGUGUAGGCGGGCGGGAACGUCGGUUGCUGAAAGCCCCCGGCUCAACCGGGGAACGGGCGCCGAAACGACCCGCCUCGAGGGACGUAGGGGGACCUGGAACUUCCGGUGGAGCGGUGAAAUGCGCAGAUAUCGGGAGGAACACCAGUGGCGAAGGCGAUCAUCUGGGGUUGUUCUGACGCUGAGGAGCGAAAGCUAGGGGAGCAAACGGG